This is a long non-coding RNA of Felis catus (domestic cat), 1264 nucleotides long. RefSeq lists it as uncharacterized. The record is from RefSeq and is a predicted model, not a curated record. Lineage: Eukaryota; Metazoa; Chordata; Mammalia; Carnivora; Felidae. The transcript is spliced from 4 exons.
UCAGGACCAGGACACAGUUUAUAAAGGAAGUAAUGCUUUAACUGAGUCUUAAAAGAUGCAUUGCAUUUGGUAAGCAGAAAAAUGAUGAAGCUACUGCUUGGCAGAUAAGCAGUGAGCAAAGGCCUGAGAGGUGAAUGGGAACCGGCCUUCGGGAAAUGGCGAGCAGUUUAGCAUGGCUGAGCACGAUAUCCAAGAGAUUCAGCAGAGCCAAGAUUUGGAUGGAGGGCUUUUAAUGCUACGUGAAAGAGCUUGAUUUUUUCUUAUAAGUGUAUGCACCAUACAGCACAUGACCAACCCCACGCCAAUAUCUAUUCCCAACGGGUCCUUUGCCUGCAGCAUAAGAAUGGUUCAUGCAGACUAUCUCUGCUUCCGCUGCAGGGUGAGAUCUGAUGGAGCCAUUGCAUUCUGGAGGGUCCUUGGAACCUGGGAGGGCUCCCCAAGCACCAUUUCCUGAUCUUAUUAACUACUCUGUAAAGUUACAUGCUGACCAACAUAAGAUUCAGAUGAAGAACCAAAUAGCUGUGGUUGCAACCACUGAGACCUCUCCUUUCUCCAUGUUGAGUGUGGGUAGGAAGAUAUUUCAACCAGAAAAUUUCUGAUUCUACCGCUAAGAAUGACCAGAUUCUAUCAGAGCUAGAAAGUCUUCUAAGGCCAUCUUUGCUCUCAGAUUCUUCUGUAUCAACCCUUGUGGGGGAAGAAAGACCAUAAAAUGCUCUCUGAAUCCAUAAGGACAACUCCGUUGGCACAGAUGGGAAUUUUGCUCUGAUUCCCAGAACAUGAACUAAUAACUGUAAAGGGUUUCUUUGGAAACACCAUAUUCUGUCACCGACCCAUCUUUUACCAUAGCACACACUCCUCAACCAUUCUCUCGUGAUGUUCCCAGGAAGUUAAAGACAGCUCAGAAGAAAAACUGUCGUCUUUAACAAAGAAAUGCAAUAGAUGUUUGUCGUGGGAGAAGGCCUAAUUCAAUUUGCAGUGUCUCUGGGUUUCUAUUUUGACUCAAGUUGUUUUCAGCACAUUCUCUCCAUGUUACCAAAAGUUAGAAAGUAUAUUUUAAGAAAUGCCACCAUUUUUUUAUAUUUACUGAGAACAACAUGCUCAGGGAUUUAUUUCCAUGAAAAUGUAGACUGCAGAAUUUAGAAACAUGCAAUGUAGAAGAAUCCAACAUGUUUUAGGAUACCACUAAGAUGUAGGAAAGCUUUUGCCAGACAAAUAAGAGGUCUUAAUGUUGGGAAGUAUGGGGGCGCCUGGGUGGCGCAGUCGG